This 1568-nucleotide long non-coding RNA is filed under the name Lupinus angustifolius (narrow-leaved blue lupine). Its description in RNAcentral is "long non-coding RNA (LANG_LNC002586)". Lineage: Eukaryota; Viridiplantae; Streptophyta; Magnoliopsida; Fabales; Fabaceae. The record is from RNAcentral.
GUUUUGAACCUGUCAGACAACCGUGUAACCAUCUCAGCCAGUGGUGAACACAGCCUGAGAACGAUCCUCCACUGCCACAGAUGAUUCUCUCUCAAAGGAGAGAUCAUCAUAGCCAUUAAUCACGCUCUGAUUACACGGUCAUGAUUCAUCAACCAGGUUUAGGUUCUUGUCUCCUUAGAACUCAAGGACACAAUGGUACGAGCCUAUAGAACAGAUCCUGUUCAAGUAAGGUCGUGACCAUUGUCUUCUCAUUUCAGUUAUAUAAAUACUUCCCAUUUUCUAGGUUUCCUCGAUGUGGGACUAAAUUAAUGUUUCUGUAUUUUAUAACUUUGAUGUGUCUACUGUCUAGUGUACAUGUACAUGGAACGUGAUCAUAUUAGUGCUGCCAAAAUGUAAUCAUGUUCCUUAUUUCAUGAUAUCUCUCAAAUGUAUGUUAAUGAAAUGAUACAAAGAGGAAUUAAGAACAUACCCAUAAAUAAAAUAUGAAACACAGAGUUUCUGUACUCUUAACGGAAUGAAUAUAAAUGGGGUGUUUGAAAACAUAAUUGUAAACAGCUAAACAUAAUUGUUGUUGUUAUAGUCAUAAUUGUAAACAUCCAUUACUAUGUUGUCACUGCCAGAAACUGACCAUAAUCUGUAUUAUCUAUAGGAAUGUGCUGUUUUUUCUUCAGUUUUAACAAGAUAUGAACAGAAGAAUGGGAAACGGGAAGUGCAGGAACCGGUUCAUUCGGUUGCGGAGAGCAACUCUUGAAUGGCAAAGUCGUUGAAGGAGUUGAAGAAGAACAAGUUAUGGAUUGCACUUUCAAAGGAAGAAAUUGAGGAGGACAUUUUCGCCAUGACAGGGAGUAGACCUAAUCGAAGGUCAAAGAAGAAGCCGAAAAAUGUUAAGAAACAAAUGGAUGUAUGAAUUUUAAGUCACUCUGUGUUUCCAUUAGUUUAAAAACGAAUAUGAUUAUUGUGAAGUGAACAAAUUUUAGUUAAUUUUUGCAGAGUGUUUUCCCUGGCCUAUGAAGAUGGGGUCAACGUUGAUGCUUACAUUGCAAUUGUAGUGGUGAUUGCAUUGCAUUUAUCACAGUUGUGGAGGUUUUACAUUGUUGCCUUUUAUGUGCAGCAGAGGUUCAAAAAUUGUGGUGGACAAUUUACAAUUGCAUUUGCAUCUGGCUAGUGUAGUUUAUGAUAGCUUUCACAAUCACAUUGCAAUAGCAAUUGCUGCCACAUGUUUCUGCAAUUGUUCACCAUUGUAUUAAAACGCAAUGUAAUCACAACUACAACUCUAUCACGAUUGCAAUUGAAGCUACAAUGGCCAAAUUUCCUGCCAAUUCUAAUGAGAGCAACAUAAUCAGACCCGCAAUUUAAAACCAUGUGUGGGUUUGCUAUGUCCUGAUGACCGCUUCAAUUUAGUUUUUUUGGGUUAUAAUUUCAUGGCAUUGAAUUGAGGAAAUUGAGCAAUGGAUAAUGCUUGUCCACUUUUCAUGUUUCUUAUAAUUUUGUGCUUGUGAAGUGAAAAAAAAUAGUUAAUUUUUGCAGAGUGUUUUCCCUGGCUUAUGAUCUAAUCGAAUUGCAGCUUG